This 462-nucleotide ribosomal RNA is filed under the name uncultured bacterium. RNAcentral's name for it is "partial 16S ribosomal RNA". It matches the Rfam family "Bacterial small subunit ribosomal RNA", at positions 355 to 803 of the family's 1533-position model. The record is from RNAcentral.
UGGGGAAUUUUGGACAAUGGGCGAAAGCCUGAUCCAGCAAUGCCGCGUGUGUGAAGAAGGCCUUCGGGUUGUAAAGCACUUUUGUCCGGAAAGAAAUCCUUGGCUCUAAUACAGUCGGGGGAUGACGGUACCGGAAGAAUAAGCACCGGCUAACUACGUGCCAGCAGCCGCGGUAAUACGUAGGGUGCAAGCGUUAAUCGGAAUUACUGGGCGUAAAGCGUGCGCAGGCGGUUUGCUAAAGACCGAUGUGAAAUCCCCGGGCUCAACCUGGGAACUGCAUUGGUGACUGGCAGGCUAGAGUAUGGCAGAGGGGGGUAGAAUUCCACGUGUAGCAGUGAAAAUGCGUAGAGAUGUGGAGGAAUACCGAUGGCGAAGGCAGCCCCCUGGGCCAAAUACUGACGCUCAUGCACGAAAAGCGUGGGGAGCAAAAACAGGAUUAGAUACCCUGGUAGUCCACGCCCU